Bombyx mori (domestic silkworm) is the source of this 1829-nucleotide long non-coding RNA. RefSeq lists it as uncharacterized. The record is from RefSeq and is a predicted model, not a curated record. NCBI's taxonomy places the organism in Eukaryota, Metazoa, Arthropoda, Insecta, Lepidoptera, Bombycidae. The transcript has 2 exons.
UUAAUUUCAAUAAUGCCGAAAAAAAAAACCACCACCCUGCCUAUUUCUGCCGUGAAGCAGUAAUGCGUUUCCGUUUGAAGGGUGCAGCAGCCGUUGUAACUAUACCGAGACCUUAGAACUCAUAUCUCAAAGAUGGGUGGCGGCAUUUACGUUGUUGAUGUCUAUGGGCUCCAAUAACUACUUAACACCCGGUGGGCUGUGAGCUCGUCCAUCUAUCUAAGCAAUAAAAACGAAAACAAUUUUUUUACGAAUAUUCAUUGUUCUCAAACAUAAGCACGAACUAACGAUAGGUCAUUAGUGAAACAUGGAGUAGACGAGGAAAAACAUGCUUCAAAAUUUUUCCGACAUCCGAUAAGACAAAGUAUUUUUGUAUUUUUUACCCUGAUUGACGUCCAAAAAAGAGUAAUAAAAAUAUAUUUUUUUCAAAAAGAUUCUUGUUUACACUCAAUAGAACAUUCUAGUAUUAUUGAUUUUGUUAUGAUAUUUGUUUCAUUAGUAAUCAUAAAAAACUAAAAUAGAUAUCUAUUUGCGUGGCUAAUAACUCAAUGUGACAUGUUCUAUGCCGAUUUAUGCGGUCCAAGUCUUUAGAUUAGUGCCACGCAUAUGUCAGAAAUAGGCAAGAUGGCGGUACCUACCCGUGCAAAUUUCCACCCAAAAAACCAGCAGAAAUUGGUAUAACGAUUAGAAAUAAUCAUUGCCAUUAAAAUUACCGAUCUCACUUGAUACAAUAUUUUAACCAAACAAGCCAACAUAUUUUAUUACGAUAGAUUAAUAUUUAGUGUUCUCAGCAAAAGUAUAAUCGCAACACCAUUCGUGCAGGCGUUACGAAUUGCGUACAUUGAACGACUGUAAACGUUUCGAAUCGCGUUACCGUGAAACGACUUCUCAUAAUGGAACCUACAAUGGUACGUUUAAACAUAAUUUACAAAGGUUUUUUUAUUGGAACUGCUCCGUUUUGAAAUAGUUAUUUAUGCAACAAGAGAGCAAAGUUGUUUUUUGUUUCGAGUGCAGAAUGCUUAGUGCGAGUUUUUUAACGUUCUCGAUAGCGUAAAAGUUAACUCAUAUUUGUAUGGACCCAUUCCAUAGUUUGCCUACGUUUGCCGCUAGGAGCGCUGUUCCAACUGCAUAAAAAAUUGGGCUAACCUUUACGCUAUCGAGAACUUUAAAAAACUCGCGCUAAGCACACUGAUUUUGAGUCCCGAGCAAGCGAAGGAUUCUAUGACUGAUUCACGAGCAUAGCGAGUGAUUCAAAAUUAGAAUCCUAAGCGUAGUGAGAGAUUCAACAGGACGAGAUGCAAAAAACUUUGCUCUCGUGUAGCACACAUAACUUUUCACUUCAGCAGUGAGAACACAUAUUAUUUAAGAGAUAUAUAGAAAUGAACAGGAAUAGAUUGAAAUAACUAUUAAAAAAAAAACGCAAUUUCUUUAUUACAAACUUCGAUCAACAAUAGUAACUAGAUUUCGGGUCGGUGCAUAAAAUCCGUCUCGUCAAAUAACAGCGCACUUGAAAUGUGAGCUCUUAUUUUGUUUAGUUCACUUCAAACACAGCCAAUUUCAACCCGUCUCACAAUACCGCAGUGUGUAUUCAAAAGUUGCAAAAAUAAGGCCCGAAAAAGCAAUUUAACGGCCGGAGUAUCUUACUUUCGCUUUCCUAGCAAUCACGUGUGCAGAAUGGAUCUCGAUUGUCGCCAGAGAAACAAGAGAUGACUUUUAUAAGCCAGCUAAGAACUCCGCUUAUUGACACUGGACAUCUUUGCCUUCCGUGCUCACGGCUACUGAAAUGUGGCCGAAACAUUGUAAUAAAAAUACCACGCUUGAAACCGUUUAAA